CCUACGGGAGGCAGCAGUAGGGAAUUUUCGUCAAUGGGCGCAAGCCUGAACGAGCGAUGCCGCGUGAGUGAAGAAGGCCUUCGGGUCGUAAAGCUCUGUUGCGGGGGAAAAAAGGCAGCAUCAGGAAAUGGGUGCUGACUGAUGGUGCCCCGCCAGAAAGUCACGGCUAACUACGUGCCAGCAGCCGCGGUAAUACGUAGGUGGCGAGCGUUAUCCGGAAUGGUUGGGCGUAAAGGGUGCGCAGGCGGUCCUGCAAGUCUGGAGUGAAACGCAUGAGCUCAACUCAUGCAUGGCUUUGGAAACUGGAGGACUGGAGAGCAGGAGAGGGCGGUGGAACUCCAUGUGUACCGGUAAAAUGCGUAGAUAUAUGGAAGAACACCAGUGGCGAAGGCGGCCGCCUGGCCUGUUGCUGGCGCUGAGGCACGAAAGCGUGGGGAGCAAAUAGGAUUAGAUACCCGAGUAGUC
This 465-nucleotide ribosomal RNA is filed under the name uncultured bacterium. Its description in RNAcentral is "partial 16S ribosomal RNA". It matches the Rfam family "Bacterial small subunit ribosomal RNA", at positions 338 to 795 of the family's 1533-position model. The record is from RNAcentral.